This 1141-nucleotide long non-coding RNA is filed under the name Gossypium barbadense (sea-island cotton). Its description in RNAcentral is "long non-coding RNA (GBAR_LNC015145)". The record is from RNAcentral. Lineage: Eukaryota; Viridiplantae; Streptophyta; Magnoliopsida; Malvales; Malvaceae.
ACAAUUUGCCAGCUACAAAAGCAAAACAUAAGGGAAAACCCCAUCUUUUUUGGCUGUUUCUCUUCAACAAUGGCACCAUAUGUAAGAAAUGAAAAAACAGAAAAGAAAAGCUAUAUCAGUAAUCGUCUCCCCAGGCUAAGGCAGACCACCUGUGUGGAUUCAUUUGUAUCAAUCAAUCAAUCUCUUUCAGAAUCACUUUCCACACUUCCCAUGGCCUUCAAUCCUCUUGGUUUCUGAAUUACAGAAAGCAAACAAAUGGGCACCGUCUAUAAUACUGAUUAAAGAGCAAGAGAAAGAUGGGUGUGAAAGCCAGAAGUGGUUACCUUCUUUGAAGUUUUCUUCUCCCUGACUUGAUACCUCUCCUGGCACAGGUCUGAUAGCCAUGUCCCUGGGCUCACCAACUACACCACCCAACCCAACAAAUGAGAAGCAAUCUUAGCAAUUUAAAAAAGAAAAAGAAGGGAAGACUUGACUGACGAGAAUGCUUCUCUGGAUCAACUUUGCCCUUUUCUUUGGCCUUUGAGGAAGCUUACAUCCCUUCAUUGCCAUGAAAUCCUGUUCUUUUUCUUUAUUAGAUAAUGUGGUGAACAAUCUGGGCCACACAGUCCCUUUAUCUUCCUUAACAUGGUGGUGAUCCAUCAAAACCUUGGUAUUAUUGUCUUCCAACACUAUGGAACCCGAUCCCCUUGUUGCAUAGUACCUAUCUUCCUUCUCCGGAGAUGUCAAUGCCGAUCUUGACUUAUUUGUUCCCAAAUCCGAAUUCCUGUUAAACCAAAUCCCAGAUCUAUGAUUACACUUCUAAACUAAUAAUAAACUAGUUCUGGGUAAUCAAGCAAACAAACAAAAUCCUUUCCUUACAUUUUGAGACGAUUGGCAACAGGCGAGGAGCCCAUCUUCUUGUUGGGCAGAGGUAAGGAGUGCGGCGUGGUAGAGGUGCCGCCGCCGCUGUUGCCAAACUGAUGCUGGUGCUGUUUUUUAAGCUUGUUGAAACAUCUUAGCCUCUUUCUGUUUCCCCAUUGCAACACGAAAUCUUUCUCCAUUUUCCCACCUUGCAUUUCCAUUCACUUUCUUCUCCCCAAGAUCUGCCAACCAAUGUAUCGCUUCAGCAAAAGCAUUUAUGAUUUCUCAUCCUGGACUGCCU